RNAcentral lists this unclassified non-coding RNA (1397 nucleotides) under uncultured fungus. RNAcentral describes it as "sequence contains 18S rRNA gene, ITS1, 5.8S rRNA gene, ITS2, 28S rRNA gene". The stretch from base 456 to 1397 matches the Rfam family "Eukaryotic large subunit ribosomal RNA", at positions 1 to 961 of the family's 3401-position model. The record is from RNAcentral. Lineage: Eukaryota; Fungi.
GGAAGGAUCAUUACCCGGUGGAGCAGGAUUUAUCCUGCACCUCCCUCCCUUGUGUAUUGUUAACGUUUGCCGGACGGCGUGGGAUCCCCGCGCCGUCUGCGCCUUUCAAACCCCUUUUUUGGAAUGUCUGAUCAAAUCGUAAUGAAAUAAAACUUUCAACAACGGAUCUCUUGGCUCCAGCAUCGAUGAAGAACGCAGCGAAAUGCGAUAACUAGUGUGAAUUGCAGAUUUCCGUGAAUCAUCGAGUCUUUGAACGCACAUUGCGCCCCUUGGUUUACCAGGGGGCAUGUCUAUCCGAGCGUCGUUACACCCCUCAAGCCUGGCUUGGUCUUGGGGCGCGUCCUGCCUGGCAGGGCCGCCCUCAAACGUAACUCGACGUGCCUUUUGUUCGGGAGCGCAGCAGUUUUGCGGCUUUCGCUGGUUCCGUGGAGCCGCCCCUGGCGGACCUCUCUGGUUGACCUCGGAUUAGAUAAGGAUACCCGCUGAACUUAAGCAUAUCAAUAAGCGGAGGAAAAGAAACCAACAGGGAUUGCCUCAGUAACGGCGAGUGAAGCGGCAACAGCUCAAAUUUGAAAUCUGGCGCCUUUGGGCGUCCGAAUUGUAAUUUGCAGAGGAUACUUCGGCUUUGGGCCCGCUCCAGGUUCUUUGGAACAGGACGCCAUAGAGGGUGAGAGCCCCGUCUCUGGGUGGGACCCCAUCGCCAUGUGAAGUGCCUUCGACGAGUCGAGUUGUUUGGGAAUGCAGCUCAAAAUGGGAGGUAAAUUUCUUCCAAGGCUAAAUACCGGCUGGAGACCGAUAGCGCACAAGUAGAGUGAUCGAAAGAUGAAAAGUACUUUGGAAAGAGAGUCAAACAGCGCGUGAAAUUGUUGAAAGGGAAGCGCUUGCAGUCAGACUUGGCUGCCCGGUUCGGUAGCGUCUCGCACGUUGCCUACGCCGCGGCGGUCAGGCCAGCAUUGGUUUGGGCGGUUGGUUAAAGGUUGCGGGAAUGUAGCUCCUCUCGGGGAGUGUUAUAGCCCGCGGCAUAAUACAGCCAGCCCGGACCAAGGAACGCGCUUCGGCUCGGAUGCUGGCGUAAUGGCUGCAAGCGGCCCGUCUUGAAACACGGACCAAGGAGUCUAACAUCUGUGCGAGUGUUUGGGUGUCAAGCCCUUACGCGUAAUGAAAGUGAACGGAGGUGGGAGCCCUCGGGCGCACCAUCGACCGAUCCUGAUGUCUUCGGAAGGAUUUGAGUAAGAGCACAACUGUUGGGACCCGAAAGAUGGUGAACUAUGCCUAAACAGGGUGAAGCCAGAGGAAACUCUGGUGGAGGCUCGCAGCGGUUCUGACGUGCAAAUCGAUCGUCAAAUUUGGGCAUAGGGGCGAAAGACUAAUCGAACCAUCUAGUAGCUGGUUCCUGC